AUUUGUAUAGUUUAAUAAAAACAUUGUAUUUUCAUUGCAAAAUUAGACCUCAUCUUACAAAUA
RNAcentral lists this transfer RNA (63 nucleotides) under Philus pallescens. RNAcentral's name for it is "tRNA-Glu". The record is from RNAcentral. Lineage: Eukaryota; Metazoa; Arthropoda; Insecta; Coleoptera; Vesperidae.